This 1847-nucleotide long non-coding RNA is filed under the name Cricetulus griseus (Chinese hamster). RNAcentral describes it as "lncRNA (ENSCGRG00015035226.1)". Lineage: Eukaryota; Metazoa; Chordata; Mammalia; Rodentia; Cricetidae. The record is from RNAcentral.
AAGAGAUGCACAGCUGGGCUUUCAGGCACGUAUUUCAUUUAGUCAUCAUGACAACUCUAUGACAGAUGGCUUACUAACAUUACCAUUUAAUGGUAGAAACUGAAACAAUGUGAUAAUGCCGGUGCUCACGUGGCUACAGUGGCCACAGUUCAAGCUCAGAGUCAUUUAUUUCUAAGUCCUUUGCUCAGGUCACUCUUCUAAACUCCUGGAGCAUCGCUCUGAACUUUUUGCUACCUCAGUACUGGAGUAAUCAAAGUAAACCCUUCACAUGGCUGUAGAACAUAAAUUCCUAAAGGGACACAGACCGGCCUGGGUGCUGAGUGGCCAACCUGCUCCCUGAAAGCAGGAAAAGGCGGAGGAUGAUUCCAUUCCCAGGCCGACAUUCAGCAUUGCUCACAGCUCUGGUUUCAGGAGGUGGCAAUAUAAUUAAAAAAUACGCUUACCUAAAGUGGUGUUAAUGGAUGACUGGCUGGUUUCUUAGGACUUGUAAGGACAAUGAGGAUGAGGUUUGUUUGUUCUGUUCUAGUGGGUCUUUUCCUCUCAAAGCAGUCAGAGCGAGUGAGCCAACAGUGCUGUGCCAGCCUUUUCCUUUGAGCUGUUGGGGAUGGAACCCAGCUUCUUAAGCAUGAGCACCCCUUCCCCUCAAGGGAUCUACCUCUGAAUUAUGGUCCCAGCUCCUUCCCAGGCAUUUUAAGGCAGUUUAAUACUUGGUUUUCUAUUUUUUCUUUCUCCCAUAAUUGUCUCUUUGUUUAAAUGAAUAUUUAUUCGGUUUCCUGACAUGCAGCACAGAUAAAAGUGAGGCUGGUGCCCAUUUAAGUUUUCAUUUGAGGGGAUUCUGAAAGGAGCCCAGCACCCUGAACUCCUUCCCUGCCACAGAAGACCUUCCUUAAGACAGCAUUCAAACACAUCUUGGAAGUGGGAGGGCCACACACCAGAAGGCAAACACUGGAAGAAGAGCCCGGUGCUGAAGAUCUGGUCCUGCCAGUGGUUAAUUGUGUAACCUUCAGGAACAUAGUUAAGCCAUGUGUUUUUCCAGUGAUAAAAUUAUACUUUCCCUCUCCAACCUCCAAGUUGCUAUGAUAAAUACAAAGGUGUUUAUAAAUAAUGAGCUUUAUAUAAACAUGUAGAGCGAAUGCCUCAUUGCAUUUAUAUACCAACAAUAUUGGUUGAUGUGGAUAGAACUUUGUAAUCUAACAAGCAAAAAUAACCAAAGGUGCUGUGCUUAAAACCUUCUGGGGUCUUUGUUUUUGCACUGAUAUAGAAUGCAUAUAAGGAUACUGAAAUGAAAUGAGUAUUUUUAGUGCAUGUAAAUAGGGCAGUGCCAAGUUUUCUGGCCAUCUGUUGUAAGGAAAUAUUUGUCAUUGGGAAGUUUGUCAUUUAGUCCUGAAGACAAGUCUGUAGACUAAGGAAGAAAGCAAGUCUGGGAUACAAUAUUUCCAAGCAGUUAUUAAAAUCCAUCCCACAAACCCUCUGGAAACGAUCACUUGAAUUAAGUGUCAUCACCAUCCACCACAGACUGUUGAUUGUUUUGGAGACAAGGUAGAAACUCAUGAGAUGAAAGUGGGCUUGCAAAGGAGCCAACACUGUUCAAAUGUUGUUUUCCCCUUGACAAAUGCAGCUAUUGGGACCAUGCUUUCAUGAACUAACCUGGCAAGUAAAAACAAAAAACAAAACAAAACAAAACAAAAAACUCAGUGGUUUUGUGUCAUUGGUUUAAAUAGUGCAGGGUUUCUCAUGGAAAAAAACAAAACAAUAAAACCUUAAGUUAGACUGUACAGACUGCAUAGCUGUUAAUAUAACUUUACUGAUUUUGUAGAGGAUUGGAAUUCUGAUUUCCAAACCCACAG